CUGCUCAGUAACACGUAGUUAACCUAACCUAUGGACGGGGAUAACCUCGGGAAACUGAGAAUAAUCCCCGAUAGAUCACGGUGCCUGGAAUGGCCUGUGGUUCAAAUGAUUUAUCGCCGUAGGAUGGGACUGCGGCCUAUCAGCUAGUUGGUGAGGUAAUGGCCCACCAAGGCUAUAACAGGUACGGGCUCUGAGAGGAGGGGCCCGGAGAUGGGUACUGAGACACGGACCCAGGCCCUAUGGGGCGCAGCAGGCGAGAAACCUUUGCAAUGUGCGAAAGCACGACAAGGUUAAUCCGAGUGUCUCCUGCUAAAGGAGUCUUUUGCCGGUCAUAGAACCACCGGUGAAUAAGGGGUGGGCAAGUCCUGGUGUCAGCCGCCGCGGUAAAACCAGCACCUCGAGUGGUCAGGAGGUUUAUUGGGCCUAAAGCAUCCGUAGCCGGCUGCUCAAGUUUUCGGUUAAAUCUAUGCGCUCAACGUAUAGGCCGCCGAAAAUACUGGGCAGCUAGGGAGUGGGAGAGGUACACGGUACUCAAUAGGAAGGGGUAAAAUCCUUUGAUCUAUUGAUGACCACCUGUGGCGAAGGCGGUGUACCAGAACACGUUCGACGGUGAGGGAUGAAAGCUGGGGGAGCAAACCGGAUUAGAUACCCGGGUAGUCCCAGCUGUAAACGAUGCAGACUCGGUGAUGCAUUGGCUUGUGGCCAAUGCAGUGCCGCAGGGAAGCCGUUAAGUCUGCCGCCUGGGAAGUACGUACGCAAGUAUGAAACUUAAAGGAAUUGGCGGGGGAGCACCACAANGGGGUGAAGCCUGCGGUUCAAUUGGAGUCAACGCCAGAAAUCUUACCUGGGCGAC
This 853-nucleotide ribosomal RNA is filed under the name uncultured archaeon. Its description in RNAcentral is "bacterial SSU rRNA". It matches the Rfam family "Archaeal small subunit ribosomal RNA", at positions 86 to 940 of the family's 1478-position model. The record is from RNAcentral.